GACGAACGCUGGCGGCGUGCUUAACACAUGCAAGUCGAGCGGAAAGGCCACUUCGGUGGUACUCGAGCGGCGAACGGGUGAGUAACACGUGAGUGAUCUGCCCCCCGCUUGGGGGUAGCCACCGGCAACGGUGAAUAAUACCGGAUAUGACCAUAUGUCGCAUGGCGUGUGGUGGAAAGUUUUUCGGUGAGGGAUGUGCUCGCGGCCUAUCAGCUUGAUGGUGAGGUAAUGGCUCACCAUGGCUUCGACGGGUAGCCGGCCUGAGAGGGUGACCGGUCACACUGGGACUGAGACACGGCCCAGACUCCUACGGGAGGCAGCAGUGGGGAAUAUUGGACAAUGGGCGGAAGCCUGAUCCAGCAACGCCGCGUGAGGGAUGACGGCCUUCGGGUUGUAAACCUCUUUCAGUACCGACGAAGCGCAAGUGACGGUAGGUACAGAAGAAGCACCGGCCAACUACGUG
Molecule: ribosomal RNA, 463 nt
Filed under: uncultured bacterium
Lineage: Bacteria
Description: partial 16S ribosomal RNA
Rfam family: Bacterial small subunit ribosomal RNA
Source: RNAcentral